Molecule: ribosomal RNA, 253 nt
Filed under: uncultured bacterium
Lineage: Bacteria
Description: partial 16S ribosomal RNA
Rfam family: Bacterial small subunit ribosomal RNA
Source: RNAcentral
UACGGAGGGGGCGAGCGUUAUUCGGAAUUAUUGGGCGUAAAGGGCGCGUAGGCGGCCCGAUAAGUCAAAGGUGAAAUCCCUCGGCUCAACUGAGGAACUGCCUUUGAAACCGUCGGGCUUGAGUCCGGGAGGGGGUAGCGGAAUUCCCAGUGUAGCGGUGAAAUGCGUAGAUAUUGGGAGGAACACCAGUGGCGAAGGCGGCUACCUGGACCGGUUCUGACGCUGAUGCGCGAAAGCGUGGGUAGCAAACAGG